GUAUCUGAGGUCUGACGAGGAUGAGAACCUCCGGGGGCAAGAGGUUCGACCCGAGCGAAGCGAGAGAACGUUGCGUCAGCAACGGCCCGCAGUGGCAAGUCAUCCUCUGUCACCGGCAG
RNAcentral lists this small RNA (119 nucleotides) under Salmonella enterica. RNAcentral describes it as "RtT sRNA". It matches the Rfam family "RtT RNA". From Rfam's summary of the family: This family represents a bacterial cis-regulatory element known as RtT RNA. The record is from RNAcentral. Lineage: Bacteria; Pseudomonadati; Pseudomonadota; Gammaproteobacteria; Enterobacterales; Enterobacteriaceae. RNAcentral also lists the same sequence under 1 other name.